GGAUGCGAUCAUACCAGCACUAAAGCACCGGAUCCCAUCAGAACUCCGUAGUUAAGCGUGCUUGGGCGAGAGUAGUACUAGGAUGGGUGACCUCCCUGCAAGUCCUCGUGUUGCAUUCC
RNAcentral lists this ribosomal RNA (119 nucleotides) under Aegilops tauschii subsp. strangulata. Lineage: Eukaryota; Viridiplantae; Streptophyta; Magnoliopsida; Poales; Poaceae. The record is from RNAcentral.